AUUGAUCGGAACACUUUUAACAGUCUUGACUUUAUUACUAAUUCAUUGACUCCGUCGCUGUCGGGUUUAUUAACAUGUCACCACCAUUGUUAAUAAUUCAUUCAUUGGGUCUUUCAUUAGGCUCGUAAACAUCUGGCUGGCGUUUACACACCGUGCCGGUUAACGCUUACUGCUCAAUCAAAGAGUCGCCGGAUAUAUUCAGGAAUCGGGUAUAUUCAGGAUUUGAAAAAAAGAGGAUCAGCACAUCCAGAGAGAUCUCAGACGUUUCCAUUUGGGGAUUUCUCAAACAACUGGCAGCCUUCUUAUUUACUACUUUAAAAUCAGCUGAAAAAAACAACUUAUUUACAAUUAAUUGCUCCGUUGACAUUAGAACCAUCAGACGAAUGUAAGCUCGCAGCGUGAUUACAGUUGUAUCAUUUAAGUGCAGUAACUCCCAUUGAGGACUGAAGUGAGAAACGAUAAACUGGCAAUGUUUGAUUUUAAAAUAUCUGCCAUUAGAAAUGAACUGCUCAAAUUGAUGAGCCAUAUUGAUAUUGACACAAACUGUAUUUCGGCGAAGACGAUGCUCAUUAAUAUUUCAAUGCAUUCCUCCCUCAUUGUGUCAUUGGUCCAAUGCUUUCCAGGCAGCGGCUGUCAUUCCCACUUGGUAGAAGUUCCACGUGAGGACUAAACGGUCCUCUCUAACGGCAGCGCCGCGGCUCCACGUGGGCGCUCGUGGGUAACGGGUCUCCUGGGUCUCCUGCUCCUCCUGCUCCUCCUGCCGGCUCAAGUACCCACUCAACGUCCAGCAGACAUUCCGUUCCAGCUCUGGUGAAACCAACAACCACUCCAACAAAAGCGUUGGCAGAGGUUAAGAGGAGUGAAAACGUCCCUCUUCAUUUGGCUUCCAGCUCGCCGGGUGCACUUGCCGUGUUGUUUCACAUGAACUGUGAGAACAUCGGGUUUUUGUUGGCUGGAUGCGGCAGCGUGAAUCGCUCGCAUCCGUUUCCCCCCUUUUAUUCACUUAGUAACCAUGGCAACAGUCUUGAAAUUUUGUCAUUUGCGGACCCGGCAGAGGUUUAAUUGUGCAGGUACUCUAUUUGGAUGAGCAGGUGCGUCGCAGUCGCUUCGACCUUCCCAUUAGCCAUUUAAUAAGAGUUGGAUGCCGCCCGUUUUUCUACAUAACAGGUUUCUCUCUGUGCGCUCCUAAAACCUCCAAUGCUUUUUUAUUUUAUUUACAGAAUUCAUUCAUGUUUUAUGCAAAUGGCUUCACCGUGUAAAGGUUCUUCUGCCGUUGAACCGACGGUGCAGGUCGGCGCUCCUCACGCCGCCGCCAACCCUGCAGAAUCGGUUCGGCGCUCUAAUGAUCAACUUUAUCCUUCUGCUUGUCACGCGUGUGCACAGCAACCCCCCCAACGCGGGACGGGGGGAGCGCGGCCGGACUCUUGUGUGACUGACGCAGAGCGCUGCUCUGACUUACCAGACAUUCGCACACCACAGCUUAUUUUAUUUUGUGGGAAUCGUAAGUAAUGGUCAGUAAUGAGCUCCUUGCACCUCCAUUCAUGGGAGUAAAGAGCACAAACCCAAGUCCCCCCCCCCCAAAUUGCACCUUUUAAUUAGGACCCGCCAGGUGAAUGCAGCCUGCACAAACACAGUCGCUGUGGACAGGCUUCCUCUUCUCCCGGCUUGAUUAGUGGUCUUCAAACAGAACAUGUAAGUUCUAAAUCUGAACUUUAACCCGGGUGACAACGCUGCAGGCGUCGUUAGCACAGCUAGACUCACGCGGCCGAUCUGGCAGGAUUUAUUCGGGCGGAGAACAGGAUUCUGUGGCGUCCUUGUAUCAGCCGAGAGGUCGUUUCCUUUCCUCGGGUGGAGGCUUCACAGCGACGCCGUGCAGUUAUGCAGCGUUUUAAAAUAACAAAACAAACCCGGUAACAAAACGGAGCUCCUCUGCGACACGGAGGAGAUUCACUACCUGACUAAAUGUAUAAAUGUGUGUGGUCAUUUGGAGGCGGAGUCACCGUGCGGUUGUUAAACAGGGGAGUUGGAUGAAGGGAUUUGCCUGCCUGGAGGCAGACCAGGACAAAGCCACAUUCUCCGGGCCGGAUGUAUGUUGACCUUUACUUUAAGGCUUGUGACGUGGACGGGGACACUCGUUACCUUUUAAAGAACUCAGGAGCACGUGUCCAAGUGUCCACGCACCCAGGCAGAGGUCAACGCUGAGCGCGAAGACACUCAAGCGAGAUUAAAUACGCCAUAAAUAUGCCAAGGCGGCGCCGUGUCGCAGAUCAGAAUCGAGCGCGUCCUCCCGUCCUCACCGUCGUCUCGACAUAAUAGAGAAAAAUAUCUUGUAGCUGCAUGCGCCCCCCCCCCCCGGAGCUCCACGAUGGUGCUUUAAACAUCUGUACGGAGACAACACUGAUAAUGUGAAGGAAUAUAUGUAUAUUCCUGAUGAGUUAUUCCACAAUGCACACACGGCGGCCACGACGGCUUCCACAUCAAAAACGCCGCGUGAGAUGAGAAGAAAAACAAGAGUAUUCAAAGCCUCACAGUGAGCCGACCUCCUUUGAACUGCACAUUAUUUCCAGGAGGAUGUGCUGUGAUUAUGUGAAUAUCUGCGAUUAAACGACAAGGACGACUGUAUCUGUCCACCCGAGUGUGUCCGUCUCCUGUGGAGGUCUAAUUAAAUGUGCCGGCUCUUGUUGCAUAUUAGAAGAUAUGAAUACGGUAUUAUCCAUUAAUGCGAGAGGAGGGUGACGGUGGCGGAAGAUGGAAGGGAAACAAUGACAGAGGAGGCAAAUUAGUUUCUCACCGUCAGGAAGGAAGUUGGGACCUUCGACGGCUGGAAACAAAAAAAAAAAAAAAAACGCGUGCGCGCACUUCAGAAUUAAUUGCGGUGCCAGCUGCCAAAUGCGGACGAAUCUUCUUUGUGGAACGCGAAGCAAAGAGACUCUGUGAUUACGACGCAAUCAGAAACUGAUUGGAAAAACUCAACGGCGCAGGAGAGUCGGUGUUGCUGAGGGCGGGUUAAACUCGGGGGGGCGGGGGGCGUCGGUGGAGGCCCUCUGAAGACGCGACCUUGCGUCACGCUGGCCCAGGUGGACCCGCCCAUGCUGACAAUCAGUAUUUGCCCCCCCGAGUGCAACUUCCGUUAGAUUAAACCCAGGCCAUGUCGACUCUUCAUCACACCUCCGGAACCCAGGCAGAGACCUCGGGCCUGUGUUCGUUAUGUACAUAUUCCCAUUAGAGCGAGGAAGUAACACGCCGAUGACCAGGGCUGCUCCUCUCGUCGCGCCGUAACGAGGCUGCUGUGAGGUCGGCCUUAAUUGCUUCUGCUCAUAAUGCUCGAGGACGACAAUCGAACCCAUUUAAUCAGCGGGCUCAUUGCUCCUAACGCGCCGGGCUGUGAAAAGACCCGCAGCAGGUUGAAUCGAGUAUCUUUGUGAAUUUCAGUAUCACAUUUAACGUUCACCUCCCUCCGCUGGGAGCUCGAGCUCUGCAACGGCGCCAUCAGUGGCGCGUUAAUGCUCCUAAUCCCGCGGAAAUCCUCGACCAAGCGCCGUUGCCAAACCAGACCAUUUGUGGCAGACUGUUGCCGUAUUUCCCCACCGGUCGCACGAGACCCAGCGCCGCCUGUCAGCGUCCGCGCGGCCACAUCUGCAGAGCGGCAUGUGGCAGAAACCUGGAACCACACCUCCCAUUUGUGAGAUGUGAGAGGCGGCAGGAUGGUCCUAAAUCCUGCUGUUCUGAAGCAGCAAUUAGAUGAAAAGGCCUUUCUUCCUCCAGACAAUGCAUGCAGGUGGGGAGAAAACUGUGCUGGCUGAUGGAGGCCGUAAUUGGCGUAACGACGGGCGGCGGCCUGGCAUCGGGAAAGAAAACCACGAGGAGAGCCGGGUGCUCACUUUAGAUGACCUAGAGAUCCAAGAGGUUCACAGGGAAUAACGGUGACAACCGUUAGAGGAAAUUCCAUGAAAUCUGCUGCAGAUAUUCGACGUGUCUCGAGGAUUCAUUCUAAUAAUUUUGUCAUAUUACAGCUUUUCCUCCGGCACCACGUUGGUUUCACCUCAACAGCUACUCGAUAAGAAAGAAAGCUUAAAGCUCUAAAGCUCUAGAUCGCUGCAGACGGCGGCUCCGCCCUGUCAGAGGUGAGCUCGCCACAUCAGACCUGCAAACGCUAGUACGAGGUCGCCGGUGGGAGUGAAGCUUCGUCUCCGCUCAACAGCGCCGAGGAAAACGACCUGUCAGUCAGCCGUCCGUGCGCAGGAAACACGACACGUUUCCAGCUCCCAAUUAACACCCCGUCGGCGUUAAGCAGCUACGCCACAGUGUCGGGAGACCCGUGUUUACAUCUUUACAUUCAUAUAACCGGGGCUACGCUUUCAAUUUGUCACACUUUCACUUCACAGCCCCCCCCGUGCUGCCGGCGUGACGUCUCCAGUCAGCUCGACUCAGAGGACAUUUAACUAUUGUUCAUCUUCUAGAGAUUCCUUUUGUCCUCGGGGGCCGGAAUAAAAAAGCAACUCUGAGCUUUUAAACUUCCUACGAAACAAAAAGUGCAGCCUCAGUUCUCAUCGCCUUAAAAAAAAAAUUCAACUUUACCCGAUAGGUAUGAAAUAAAUCAUCAGCUGUGCUGAACGGAGUGUCACGGUAACAACGACUACCGUCUCACGGUCCUCCCUACAGGAGCGGGGAGGAGAGAGCAAGGAUGACUUUUGCUCACUCAGACACAAAGACCUUGAGGCGAGCUAACUGACGGAGGAAGGAAUGAAUCACACACACACACACACACACAGCUGUGCACGUGGCUCAGCAUCCAGGAUGGGCGCUCCGCCUCCGGGCCGAAGGACCCAGUGUUUGCAGAUCAAUCUGGGCUCAGCCCCUCCUCCAUCCUCUCCUCGUCCGCGGCCUCCUGAUGCGGCGUAAGGCCCCUCCGCGUUUCCUGGAGAUAGACGGAGGUGUUUGUGUCGCAACACGACCCUCGACCCCUGCGACCUUCCGCACAAUGCUGGCCGUUCUGUACUUCGGGGGAAAGCCUCGGGCGGGGGACUGCAGAUCUGCAGUAAACGGCCUUGAUUAAUGUGGCAGCGAAAGCACAGAAACUUUCGGGUGCAAACUUCCGUCAGCUUGCAGCCAUCCUCACAAUUAUCUAUUUCCAGCGGCUCGAUCUGGUGCUCCGGCUGAAGCAAGCACAAAUCUCAAAUGAGAUCCCCCAACUCUGACCUCGACAAGUCCAUAAAACUGCCAAAGACCGGUUCCGCUGGCGGAGGUGAAUAUACGGCGGCUGGAACACAACCGCUACAAGCUCCGCUGUCUCGCAGGUCCUCAUAUGUUUGGCAGAGGGCCACCGUGCACCGAACAAAUCACAGCCGCACUUAAACUACCGAUAUUUAUUCUGUCCCGGGCCGCGCGCUCCUUCGCCUUAGCCCUCCGGCUCGUCCGAUCCGGCUCGUCCAUCCCGGCGAAGCCCGCUGCAGCCGACGGAGGAGGCCUUUUUUUUUUUGGUGCAGGCUGUCGGGGCGGAACCGUAAUUAGAGGCUUGAUGGCGCGAGCCCAGCGACGCCACGUUCAUCCAUCCCUGUCCAAGUGACACUCGGGAGCGGAGCGAAUCGAUGCGACGGCUGUUAAUUGGCGGGGUAUCGCCCGGCGCCGCCCGGUGCCAUUAGUCACGGCGCCGUCACCGGGCCGAUGGCGCGGUUGACUUUGGGUGAUGUCAGGGGACUUUAUCCCACCGAAUGGAAACACCAGACGUUCAACCUCAGCGACGGACGGGUUCCUCCAGACCCGAUUUGUUGGCGUUUGGUUCAAGUGAACUCAGGUGUCAAUCAAACCCCCGUAUCGGACCGAACAACAGAACCAAGACCGGAAGGAAAAGCCGGCUCUUGAUCCGCUUCCAAGCGGACUCGGCUGGGUUGGUUUGGUUGUGUGGUAGUAGACAAGAAUAACACAUGAUUUUGUGACAGCCGGUUUUGAUUUCACACGGCAGACGGCCAACAAAUGUCUCUGCUGAUUGUGGAAACUGUUCAGGAAGCCAAGCGUUCCGUCUUUUUAUGCAAAUCACAAAGCAUCUGUGGGCAUUUCCACUGAUUAACAUUUCCAUAAAUGUGAAGCGCCAUGCGACUUUUUUUUCCCAACCCGUGAGUCAUUACUCACCAUAACAUGAGGUCAAUCUGCGGUCUAAUAAUACCAUUAAUCCUUGCAAUCUGUUACACAUAUAUAUUCAGAUCGGAUGCGUUAAAGUGCCUCAUUAACUUCUGUCCGUAGCGGAUUGGGCCGUCCACGUUGGAUCUGAUAAUGGAGGACGACGGCCCGAUCAGUCACACCCAAUAACUUCUGUACGACUUCCCUUGAAACCAUUUGCAUCCAAUUCUUAGCGCGGUGGUUCAUAACACCCGGCCUGCACAUUUAAUAGACAUUCAAUAAAGCAAUGUUGGUGUUUAUGACAGAAUGAAAACCAAAGGCGAGGAGGAGAAGGUUAAAGUCAGAGGUCAAGAGAACGACAAACCCACCCACAGAAGCCUUGUAGCGCUCCCUGACCUUUGACCCGUUGAUAUCUUCCGACGAUCAAGGAUGCGGGAGACUUCGUUUGGGCGCUGAUGGGAUCAGGGUGGUCCACUCUAUAGCACACAAACUUGAACUCAAAUAGCCAGAAAGAAGAGUUUCAGGUCAGUUCUUAGUCACGUUUGUGUGUUUCCCACAACACGCUUAUUAAACCAUUUAAAACAAAUUAUUUCUUUGAUUUCUUCCUUUGAAGUGUUUUACAAAAAGAGGAGAAAUAAAUCCAUAAAAUGCCUUUGAGUGUAGAAAAUAUCAGAGAUAAAAAUUGAGUCUUUUAUCAAACUUCAAAGGUUCGUGUCACAUGACUGUUGGGAAGUUUUUCCUUCGGGGUUUUCUGACAGAAAACGUUCAUUUUAACCUCAAUUCGCGAUCGCUCCCUACUCCGCACCAGGGCGGUUUGAGGUUCUGAGGGUUAGAAGCUGCUGCUCUCAUCAUCGCUUCAGAACUGAGAUUCAGGGCUGAUAAGAGAAAUGCGAUUAUUACAUGAAAGCAUUGUGCCAUCUGGUAUCACUGCGUCGUAUCUCCGGCCCAACCAACCGAUUCCUUCGCGUCGACUCGGCAUGUUUCAUCUUUAACACGCAGAACUCAGAAUGUCGGCAGUCACGCUGAGUCGCUCCUCCUUCCACCGCCGCCGCCGCCGCAGACAUGUGAGCCCACCGGAGGCCCGGCACGAUGAGAUAAAUUCAUGAUGUCUCAUAACUUUCAAUUGGAAUAUGUAGCCGUGAAAUUUGUUUGUGUUGCUGUGCGCCAUGAGACCCCCCCCCCCCUCCGAUACUUGCACUCUCUGCUGUUAUCGCUUUGCUGGUUUUUACCCUCGCAUAUCAAUUUGCAUCAAAUUUCAGCCGUCUUCCAUGUUUGGGAUGAUUUGCAUGACGCCGUCGGCUGGGAUUGGAACGGGCCGCCACGUGGCAUCGGGCGAGGGGCAUCACUGCGGCGGCGGGAGCUGGAUGGCGGGAGCCCAGAACAACCAGUCCGUUCGGCAAAUCUGUCAAUUUUGCUAAUGGCCCAAUAGAGACGCUUAUAUGUCCAUCAAAAAGGGGGAGGAAAAGCACAUUUCCUUCCCGGUUGAACAGAAUAACUGCGUAGGGCUCACAGGCAGUGCAGCAGCGGUUUGUGAGGCGUAAAAUAUGUCAAACUUUGGUCCUACUGGUUACCCAAGGAUGUUGAUACAGGACAAAUGCACAUAUAUGUAUCAAAGCACAUUACAGCAUCAACUCUACGCCAGCAGGCUGCAGCUUUCAGCUCUAACCAAACGGUUUUUUAGCGCCCGCCGUGUACCUCCAUCCAGAACAAUCUGCUCCCACAGAUGGGAGCGGAGGCUGUGGAGGAGGCGGCGGCGGCGUCAAUGCGCCCGAUCAAGUGUCGGCGUCCCGUUGGAACGCACUCGGCGAAUGAUUUACCCCCCCCAGCUGCGGCGCACGCCGCCGUCGGGAAAAAGAAAAAAAAGUCGAAAACGACAACUGGAAAAACAGCGAGGGAGCUCGUUCGUCUCCCAGCCGGAAGGGACGCCGGAGUGAGGGAGAGGUCGGCCUGCUUCAUCUGCAGAGAUGAAGGUGGCCGCCAUUAAUCUGGCAGGCACCUUCCAGCUCCACGUCUGAUUGGCUCCCGCUAAUUGGACGGGAGAACGAUGUUGCAUCCUUCGAGUGAAAUGGAGGCGUUGCUGAGGUAUCUGACCGCGUGGAACGUGUCAUUUUCUUGCCCUAUGUUGUCUUUUCUGUCUUGUUGUCCGUUGACUUACAGUCUGAUGUUAUGCACCAACCGCCAUGUCAAAUUCCUUCUAUGUCUCACAUAUUUUGGCAAUAAAUUCCUGACCUGAGGUCACGGUGACCUUGACCUCCAAAAUCUAAUCAGUUCAUGAUCGAGUCCAGAUGGAUAUAUUUACCCUCCUGGUGUUCUGGAGAUGUGGCGCUCAGGAGAAUGGACCAGACGGACGUGCAAACGUAAAACAUAAAGCCUCCGGUCACGUUUGUUGCUGCCGAAAAGUCAUAAAAAGAAGCGGCCUAUUAAGGCUGAAACGAUGCAGACGGCAGCGUGAGCGUUUGCAGUGACAUUCGCAAACAGUUUGCAGGUAAGAGCAGUGGAGUCAUCGAGAGCCGAGUAGAAGAGAUUAACUGUCAAGGUGACGCAUACAACAUGCUGCUGCUGUCGCUACGUGUAAAAAGAAAAUGGACCAAAUGGGGAAUAUAAUCUCCCUUUCACAAAUGAAGUGGGCCGAGGUUCACCUCGAGUUUGCCGUGCAUUGAUGAAGGGCUGGAUGAUUGCAUCAAUGGCUGGAUGAAUGGAAAGAAGAACAAACGGGUGGAUGGGUGAAUGCUCGGGUUAAUGGCUGAGUAACUGCACGGAUAAAUGGCUGCAACGGACGGACCAGUGGAUGGAUGAGUGCAUGGAUCGAUGUACAUUCAUUUUGCAUUCCACACACUUUGAUCGUCUCAUUCAAAGUGGACCAGGGCUCCUGCUGAGACAUGUGGCGGAAAGUGCAGCAAUAAAAAUAAAAAAAAAAGUGAAGAAUAUUGAGAAAGUAGCAUUUGGAUGCUAUAAAGUGACAUUCAUGACUGUUUGUCCUGCUUUGCACUGGAGCAUACAGUCAAAUAUGUGCUACUUUCCAGCUACUUCUUGCGUUAGGAGGUGAUUUCCUUUUGUUAGAUGGAAAUCUUCUCUAAAAAGGCUGCAACGUUCUGCAGCUACCCCCCCCCCCCCCCCCCCCAGUGCACUUCUAGUCUGUAGCCUGUCAAGCCUAGAAAACAGUCUUUGUGCCUUCAGCCAGAUAGAUAAAAAUAUAUUAUGUUUGCCCGUUCUGCCAGAGUUGGAUGUUGUUAACACGCUGCCACGAAAUGAGAGACACGAGG
Gasterosteus aculeatus aculeatus (three-spined stickleback) is the source of this 9380-nucleotide long non-coding RNA. NCBI's taxonomy places the organism in Eukaryota, Metazoa, Chordata, Actinopteri, Perciformes, Gasterosteidae. The record is from Ensembl.